RNAcentral lists this transfer RNA (69 nucleotides) under Xenopeltis hainanensis. RNAcentral describes it as "tRNA-Phe". It matches the Rfam family "tRNA". Rfam says of the family: Transfer RNA (tRNA) molecules are approximately 80 nucleotides in length. Their secondary structure includes four short double-helical elements and three loops (D, anti-codon, and T loops). The record is from RNAcentral. Lineage: Eukaryota; Metazoa; Chordata; Lepidosauria; Squamata; Xenopeltidae.
GUUAUUGUAGCUUACCCACUCUAAAGCACAGCACUGAAAAUGCUGAGACGGUGACACACCCAUAUAACA